Lycium ferocissimum is the source of this 914-nucleotide long non-coding RNA. RefSeq lists it as uncharacterized. The record is from RefSeq and is a predicted model, not a curated record. The transcript is spliced from 2 exons. Lineage: Eukaryota; Viridiplantae; Streptophyta; Magnoliopsida; Solanales; Solanaceae.
AAAUGUUUGAGAUAACUUGUCGAGAAACUCGUGCGAGAUGAAAAAAGUCUUAAAAAUGAGUUUGCUUGACACUCAAUUUUUUUCCAUUUAUAUUGCCACAUGAAAUUAUUUGGAGGAGCUUUUGGAGCUCGAUAUUUACAUAUCACGUCAUAUUCCUCCGCGGAUAUUUUUAUAUGAGUUCACGAUAAUCCAAGCGGUUCUGUAAACACCAAAUACUUUAAUUUUUUUUUUUUUUAGUUCCAAAGCCAUUAACCUAUUCACUCUUUGGAGAAACCUAAUUUCUUUUUAUCUCAUAAAUUACUAUUCCACAUAAUCAGUGAAAACUGGACCCACAUAAGUUAACCGUUUAUGUUUCUUGGAACCUGGUUUUCUUUCUUGUUUUUUUCCCGCUUUUACAGUUGGAAUUGGAACCUGGUUUUUCUUUGUUGUUUUUUCCGGAUUUACAACUUGUUUAGAAGAGUAGUAAACAAUUACAUUCUCCCAAAAUAAAAAAAAUAAAAAAUAAAAAAAACAAACAGGCACAUUUCUCGAAUUCUCCGCAGCAUUACGGAUGGUUCAGUUGGAGUCAGUAUGUUGGUGCUUUGGAAGAUGUUAUGGUACCAAUUAUUGCACUGUUUGAUGGUUUUAGGAUUGUGAAGAUGGAGGGAGUUGACAAGUUGGUUCCUUUCAUUGUUAAUCAAGUUUCAUUGCAAAGUUUACUUUGUUCUCUCUUCUGUGGUGAUAAUAUUCUUUCUUGUUUGGAUACUGAAGUGUCCGGUUUUCUUACUGAUGUAGUUUUUUUUGGUCCUCAUCACUAUCCAGUAAUUUGACUUGAAAAGACAAGUUUUAGUAGGCGUUCGGUAAAUAUUUGAGUUGAAGUUGAGCAAAAGAUAUCUGAAGUUGGAAAAAAAAAAAAUAUGUGGAAGUUGAAGUUG